GUGCAGGGCCCGCCUAUAGUAAAUGGC
This 27-nucleotide small RNA is filed under the name Bombyx mori (domestic silkworm). RNAcentral describes it as "ovarian small RNA-17876". The record is from RNAcentral. Lineage: Eukaryota; Metazoa; Arthropoda; Insecta; Lepidoptera; Bombycidae.